Molecule: long non-coding RNA, 3268 nt
Organism: Loxodonta africana (African savanna elephant)
Lineage: Eukaryota; Metazoa; Chordata; Mammalia; Proboscidea; Elephantidae
Exons: 4
Source: RefSeq, a predicted model, not a curated record
UCCCACCAGAGCCCUUGUCACCCUAUGCUUGCCAGUCUCAUCCACUUACCUCUCAGAGCACAGGGCCAGGACUUGGCCUCAGUCCUCCAACCCUUCUCUGCUCGCCCAGGCCUCCUGCCCUACAGCUCCCCCAGGACACCUUCCCCAGAUAACGUGCCUGCCCGCUGUUUCUCUCAUCCUAGACAUUGUCCUAGGGUCCCUUUCUCUUGCCAGGACCCUUAUCAUCACCUUUGUGCUUCAAGUGUCUAGGGACAAACUCAGGAGGAUGUUCUCUGAUCUGUGCACACGUACCCCACUCCUGAUCCUGAGACCAUCUCAUGGGGGCAUGCUUCUGUUCACAAGCAGGUGAUGCUUGAGGGCAUCAAUUGCUUAGGGGAAACCCUUGCGCCUUGCACCUACUGGAAAAAAGCUCACCCAUCUACCCUACAUCCGUCAUGGGUCAUUGUUGGUAUGGUUGGAUUGGCAUUGGUCAGUUUGCCAUGCCUUUACGUCAUUAGAUCCUGCAGGUAGGCAUUCCAGCAUCCACUUUAUGGGGGAGGAAGCUGUGGGUCUCAGAGACCUGCAGUGACAGAGCCGGGGUCAGAAUCAAAGCCCCUGGUGGGUUGUGAUUCCACACCUCAUUGGGGCACCAAGUUCAGUCAGUGAGUCUGUGACACACAUGGCUUUAAGCCGCAGCUGAUGACCAGUGGCGAUUCUCAUGGCUGGUGUGAGCAACCUGGGGAGCAUGGGCUCCUGAGUCCCAGUUGCCACCAGCCCUGGAACUGAGUGUUCAGCUCACAUAUCCCUGUUCUUUAUCUUCAUCUGGGUCUGAGAGUUUGCUCUUGGUUUGGGCGAUGGGGAUUUGGAAGACUGGACCCACAGAGGACACUGUGGCAUAGAGAGGAGGGAGAUAAGCGCAAGGCGAGGAGCUUCAUUUAAUGUGGCACCUGUGCUGUAUUUAACUACGAGACUCCCUGAGGAAGAUUACAGCUGAGACCCCCACCUUUCUCCCUCGGAAAAUCUGCAAGAGAUUUUUUUCCUGUUUUACUUCGCCUCUUGGUCUGGCAACGGGGGUGCGUCCCUGGGUGGCACUACUGGGCCUGUUCAGGUCUGUUUGAGAAAGGGAAAAGUCCUCACUAGAGGUCCAGAGCUCCUCAGAAGGGACUUCCCUGUUCUCCUUGGCUCUUCUCCAAGGCCCUCAGCUUCCUGCCACCGUGGUCGAGCCCUUAGUUCCUACUGCAAGUGGCUCCACCCCUGAAACCUUCUCUCCCCUUGCCCUGACUCUGUGCCUCACACACCUUGCCAUUCUCGGUUUCAGCAGUGAUCUUGCCACCCUCCCGGGACAAGAUCUUGGCCUUGACAAACUCCUCCUUGUCGUCUGGCACAAAGCACUCAGUGCGGAUGUCGAAGGGCCGGGUCUGGGCCUCCAGACGCUCCUUCUCUGACUUGCGGAGGUACUGGGCUGCCUCCCCAAAAUCGGCCAUCUGGGCAUCCGCCAUCUUCUUGCUGCACUGGGGACGAGACAGGAGGGCUCUGUCACUCCUGAGAGAGUCCUGAAGAAUCUGGACCACGGGUGGAGCAGGAGGAACCACAGAGAAACAGCCUGGCAGAAAGGACAGACAAGGAGAAUGGAUACAGGCAGGCAGGAGACUGGGAGAAGGACAGUGAGCCAGGAGGCUUGACUUGCAGAUACAAACGCACAGACAGGAGCAGGACAGACCAGAAUACGGAGUUAGAGAGGGAAGAGGCAGCGACGUGCAAAAGAGAGGAUGCAGCUGCCUCCCGCAUGAGCUCCUCUUUGUCAGGAAGUCCUGGAGUAUGAGGCAUGAGACUCCAGUCACAGCCUCUGCAGUCCAUGAACGAGUGGCCUGCUGUCUGACCUGCUGAUCUUGGGUUCAUCAGCCCCUGCAGCCACGUGAGUCAGGAGGAGCAUCUAGCCUGAAGCCUGACUUGGAACUUGCCAGCCUCUACAACUGCGUGAGCCAUUUCCUUAAGAUAAACCUCUCUCUUUGUCUCUAUUAUAUAUCUCAAUAUACAUACAUAUGUAUAUACACACAUAUAUGUGGAAACCCUGUUGGCGUAGUGGUUAAGGGCUACAGCUGCUAACCAAACGGUUGGCAGUUUGAAUCUGCCAGGCGCUCCUUGGAAACUCUAUGGGGCAGCUCUAUUCCGUCCUGUGGGGUCGCUAUGAGUUGGAAUCGACUCAGCGGCGCUGGGUUUGGUUUAUAUAUAUAUGCUUCGCCGGUUUUGCUUCUCUAGAGAACCUAGCCUAAGUCAGAGGGAGGCUCAGUCUAGAACUGAGCCAAGGCUUCCUAGAUUCGCAGCAGGAGGCUGACAGUCCCAUUGCCUCCCAAGCUCCUGCCCUGUAUGGCCCAUAAUCCCAGGCCUAUCCUAAGUAUCCCAGCUCUGGCAGUAGUAACACCAGGGAGUGGGGUGGGGAGUUGGGAGUGCUGGGCCUGGUUAGUAGAAGGAGGGCUGUGCUCCUUCUCCAUUCCCCAGCCCUCCAGAGAUCCAUCCUCUCUCCUCUCCCAGGGGUCUUGCUCAUACAUGACUCUCCCCUGCCUGGCCUCCCUUUGAGAUGGCUGCCAUAAAUAGGCCAAAGAACCCCCACCUUCCAGCCAGCUCAGAUGAGGUGGGUCUUGGGAAUACAGGUUACAGGGGAGAGAAAUGAGGGAGAAAUAAGUAGUAUCCUGGACUGAAGGGGCUAAGCCCCAGAGGGGAUGAGGAGAGGAAGGUAGGUUGGGGGUUGUUGUGAGAUAGUGGUAGCUGUGUCUGGAAGGGUGAGACCUUGUGCCCUCUCAGAGACUUGCCUUGGGCCAGGGCUUAAAGGGUCAUUACCCCACCUGCCCAAAGAGGUUACGCCUCAGAGGGUCCAGAAAACUAAACCUCCUCCCCACGGCCGUACCAUGAUUGUAUUGGUGGUAAGUGGUGUUGAACAGAGCUGGGGCUGUAGAACCAAAGCAUAUAGGCUCAGGGUGCUCUAGAUAACCUUUAAAAGUUCCCUAAACCCCCUUCAACUCUGAGGGCCUUUGGGCCAGAGAGAGAGCUGGGAGGAGAGGUGCCAUCUUUCUAUUCCAUUCCCAGUGGAGGAGGUGAAGCGGAGCUGGAGCUCUCUGGGCUACAGCUGCACAGGCAGCGCUCAGAGCUUCACAGGCUCCCGCAGGGAGGCCUCCCAGCCUGGCCUUUGAAGUUGCCCCUCCUCCCCUAGAGCCCUGCUUCUUCCCACAUCCCACGUCCCCAUGGCUGGCAGGCAGGGAAGAAGAGUCUGAAGGCAAGAUCUUAGCUUCAA